AGGGGUGUAGCUCAAUUGGCAGAGCGCUGGUUUCCAAAACCAGAGGUUGCGAGUUCGAUUCCCGCCGCCCCUGCCA
This 76-nucleotide transfer RNA is filed under the name Planctomycetales bacterium. RNAcentral describes it as "tRNA-Trp". It matches the Rfam family "tRNA". From Rfam's summary of the family: Transfer RNA (tRNA) molecules are approximately 80 nucleotides in length. Their secondary structure includes four short double-helical elements and three loops (D, anti-codon, and T loops). Further hydrogen bonds mediate the characteristic L-shaped molecular structure. tRNAs have two regions of fundamental functional importance: the anti-codon, which is responsible for specific mRNA codon recognition, and the 3' end, to which the tRNAs corresponding amino acid is attached (by aminoacyl-tRNA synthetases). tRNAs cope with the degeneracy of the genetic code in two manners: having more than one tRNA (with a specific anti-codon) for a particular amino acid; and 'wobble' base-pairing, i.e. permitting non-standard base-pairing at the 3rd anti-codon position. The record is from RNAcentral. Lineage: Bacteria; Pseudomonadati; Planctomycetota; Planctomycetia; Planctomycetales.